CUUCGUCGGCAGCGUCAGAUGUGUAUAAGAGACAGGAAGGGAGCUUCAACGUUUCCUUCCGUCCGCGGAGCGACUACUCCGUUCCAUGGAAAGUCUCGAUGUGUUUCAACAUCUCCCAAAAGGACAAGGUCAUCCUGGCCUUGUACAAGAGAUGGCUCCAUUGCGGGACACUGAGAGGCCGACCGGACGGGGUGUGGUACUACGAAGUGAAUAACUUCAACGCCAUCGUCGAGAACGUGAUCCCCUUUUUCAACCGUUUUCAGUUCAUGUCCGCGAAGAAGAAGCGAGACUUCGCGAAAUUCAAGCAGAUCGCCAAGAUGAUCCAGGAAGGACGGCACCAGAACAAGGAUGGGAUCCUCGAGAUCAUGAAGAUUCGGAAAGACAUGAACGACGGCGGGAAGAGAAAGUACAGCGAGGGCGAGAUCGUCGACCGCCUGUCCCAUGAAGAAUCCUCAGAGACUACACGUCAGGCUCUCCCGGACACCGAGGAGAGAUGAUAUAGUCCGUUCCCUUCAGCGAUGGAGGGCGCCCGGGAUGGCCCGGGCAGUAUCUCUUGAGCAGAUACAACGUCAAGAACGGUCCUAAGGUUAGAGACGCUAGCUUUAGUAAAAUCUGGCUGUGUGCUGGAAAACCUGUCCUCUCGAAGGGGUGAAGGGCCCGCGCUACUCCAUGGGGAGUAACAAUGCGACGGGCGCAGGCAAUCAGCAGGAAAGGCCGGGGCGAGGCCCCGGAAUCCUCAGAGACUGUACGCCAGACGCUCUACACGGAGUGAAGAUACAGUCCGAGCCCCAUGGCGACAUGGGGAGGCCGGCAGAAAUGACGGCCCGCCUGGCUGCGAGCCAGGUCUUCAAGUAACAGAACUGAGCGAAAUUCCUUGUCGGGUAAGUUCCGACCCGCACGAAAGGCGUAACGACUUGAGCGCUGUCUCAAAGAGGGGCUCGGCGAAAUUGUGGUUCCGGUGAAGACGCCGGAUACCUGCCGCUGGACGGAAAGACCCCGGCACCUUAACUGCAUCCUAGCAUUGGAUUUCGGUCCAUGAUGCGCAGGAUAGGUGGGAGACUUUGAAGCCGCGCCUCCGGGCGUGGUGGAGUCAACGGUGAGAUACCACUCUUCAUGGUCUGAGAUUCUAACCUCCGCCCCUGAUCGGGGCGAGGGACAGUGUUAGGUGGGUAGUUUGACUGGGGCGGUCGCCUCCUAAAGUGUAACGGAGGCGCCCAAAGGUUCCCUCAGGCUGUUUGGAAAUCAGCCGUAGAGUGCAAAGGCAUAAGGGAGCUUGACUGUGAGACCGACGGGUCGAACAGGUGGGAAACCAGGGCUUAGUGAUCCGGUGGUCCUGAAUGGAAGGGCCAUCGCUCAACGGAUAAAAGGUACGCCGGGGAUAACAGGCUAAUAGUGUCCAAGAGCUCACAUCGACGACACUGUUUGGCACCUCGAUGUCGGCUCAUCUCAUCCUGGGGCUGAAGCAGGUCCCAAGGGUCCGGCUGUUCGCCGGUUAAAGAGGUACGUGAGCUGGGUUUAGAACGUCGCGAGACAGUUCGGUCCCUAUCCACGGUAGGCGCAGGAGAUUUGAGGGGGGCUGUCCAUAGUACGAAAGGACCUGGAUGGACGAACCUCUAGUGUACCGGUUGUGCCGCCAGGCGCAGCGCCGGGUAGCUACGUUCGGUUGUGAUAACCGCUGAAAGCAUAUAAGCGGGAAGCACGCCCCGAGAUAAGAUCUCCCUCCCGCAAGGGCUAAAGGUCCCUCGCAGACUACGAGGUUGAUAGGCUGGAGGUGUAAGCGCAGUGAUGCGUUCAGCUGACCAGUACUAAUAGACCGUGAGGCUUGACCAU
Molecule: ribosomal RNA, 1830 nt
Filed under: hot springs metagenome
Description: bacterial LSU rRNA
Rfam family: Bacterial large subunit ribosomal RNA (bases 568-1830)
Source: RNAcentral